CCUUGGUGGCUGACCAUUGUUUAUGGGCCGCAGCAGGAUCAUGAGAAGAUCGCGUUCCUUCAGGAAAUCCGCGACGUGCGCGCCAAUUGCGCCGGCCCAUGGAUGCUUUGCGGGGACUUCAACUUGAUCUAUCAAGAUGAAGACAAGAACAACGGGAACAUCAACAGACGCAUGAUGGGGCGCUUCCGCCGUGUUAUCAAUGACCUCGCGCUUAAGGAGGUUUACCUCAAUGGUCGGCGGUACAAAUGGUCGAAUGAGCAGACCCCGCCCAGGUUGGUUCAUCUCGACCGUGUCCUCUGCACUGCGGAC
Molecule: ribosomal RNA, 309 nt
Filed under: Triticum aestivum (bread wheat)
Lineage: Eukaryota; Viridiplantae; Streptophyta; Magnoliopsida; Poales; Poaceae
Description: partial small subunit ribosomal RNA
Source: RNAcentral